RNAcentral lists this unclassified non-coding RNA (243 nucleotides) under Hevea brasiliensis (rubber tree). The record is from RNAcentral. Lineage: Eukaryota; Viridiplantae; Streptophyta; Magnoliopsida; Malpighiales; Euphorbiaceae.
AAAAUUGUUUGUCAAGUGGAAAAAUCAAAUUCAAAUAUAGAAAUAAAGAAGUGGAAGGCCAUAGUUUCCACUGCAUUAGCAGCUGCAGUGAUUACAUUUAGCUCAAACAUGGCUGCUAUGGCUGACUUAAAUAAGUUUGAGGCAGAUACAAGGGGUGAAUUUGGUAUUGGUUCUGCUGCUCAAUUUGGUUCUGCUGACCUAAAGAAAACAGUUCAUACAAAUGAAAACUUCAGAAGAGCCAAU